UGAGGAAUAUUGGUCAAUGGACGAAAGUCUGAACCAGCCAUGCCGCGUGCAGGAUGACGGCCCUACGGGUUGUAAACUGCUUUUAUAUAGGAAGAAACUGACGGUACUAUAAGAAUAAGGACCGGCUAACUCCGUGCCAGCAGCCGCGGUAAUACGGAGGGUCCAAGCGUUAUCCGGAUUUAUUGGGUUUAAAGGGUACGUAGGCGGAAUUUUAAGUCAGUAGUGAAAGCCCAUCGCUUAACGAUGGAACUGCUAUUGAAACUGAAAUUCUUGAAUAUAGUUGAAGUAGGCGGAAUACGGCAUGUAGCGGUGAAAUGCAUAGAUAUGCCGUGGAACACCAAUCGCGAAGGCAGCUUACUAAGCUAUUAUUGACGCUAAUGUACGAAAGCGUGGGUAGCGAACAGGAUUAGAUACCCUGGUAGUCCACGCCGUAAACGAUGAUUACUCGGUGCUGGCGAUACACUGUCAGUGCCUAAGCGAAAGUGAUAAGUAAUCCACCUGGGAGACAUCGGCUU
This 515-nucleotide ribosomal RNA is filed under the name uncultured bacterium. RNAcentral's name for it is "bacterial SSU rRNA". It matches the Rfam family "Bacterial small subunit ribosomal RNA", at positions 355 to 889 of the family's 1533-position model. The record is from RNAcentral.